Molecule: unclassified non-coding RNA, 3106 nt
Filed under: Hevea brasiliensis (rubber tree)
Lineage: Eukaryota; Viridiplantae; Streptophyta; Magnoliopsida; Malpighiales; Euphorbiaceae
Source: RNAcentral
AGAUAAUGUCAACUUAAUAAUAUGCUAAAAGAACAAAUGAUGUAAGGGACAAAAGAAAUAAAGGGAAAAAUUAUAUAAACUCGGUGCAAAGUUCCAUUGUAUAUGGCAAGCAUUUGCUACAACAAACAAUGGCUUGCAUAAAGUACAAACUGAAUGUAGUCCGCUAAACUGAAACUAGACCAACUGAUAUGUGAAUUCUGAUCUACAUGGGCAUAAAUAAAGGUGACACCCUCCUUUGAACAAUAUCCUGAAUUUGUUCUGAUGAUAAAACUGAUGCCUCAGCAAUAAAAUCAGCAUUUUGCAUCUGCUGGUGCAACUUUCCAAGAAUUACAGAUUGGUCGUCCAGGUGAAAUUUGCGCAUAUACUUCAGCAUCUCCAGUUGCUGAAAAUAAAAAUAAAAACGGCAUGCACAAUUUAGCAGCAUCCUUCAACAAAACUCACACCAAAAUGCAGCUAGACAGCACCUGUUCAUGCAAUUUUUGUUGACUCUGCAUUUUUUCAGUAAACUCUUUUGGUCCAAGCUCAGCUUCAUCGCAGGCCAUCUCUUCACUGUCAAUUGACAGAACAUCAACACUGGACCAUACAGAAAUAUAUAAACCAAUCUGUAUAUAUGGUGUUUGCAAUUCAUAAAUAUGGGGACAACUGAACAUUACAAAUGAGGUGGGACUUUCACUUCCUCAAGUAAAACUACCCCUGGUGACAAUCAAAUAUGUUGGGAAAUUAAACCCAAGGGGAAUGGACCAUAAUUCAUAUACAUGCAAAAACCCAUUGCCCCAAGAGUUGUAUCACUAGUCUAACAUAUGAUCACAUUAAUAUAAUGAGCCAUAUGCAUUAAUUCACAGCCAAGAUGUACCUGGUAUUGCAGAAAUAAUUUAUUUGUGCUCCGGGGGUACAAACUGUGUUAGAGAGAAGAAGACCUUGCUAAGACAAUGCAUACUCAAUGAGCACACGCAACACACCCUUGCCGCAGAAAAAUACUCUCAAUUUUUCUGCCCAUAGAACCUAUUGUUACAUAUGGAAGGCGGAGAUUUAGGAAAAAGAAUGGGACUGAACUUAAUAAAUGAGAGAUGUAAGUGAGCGAGAUCAGUAAGCAGGGGAAUAAGGGUGAGCUAGAGUAGUAGAAAAUUUGUUAGAAUAGUCUCAGUUGGCGAGAACAGUUAUAAUUGAGUAGCAGCUGUACGAAUAACAGCAUUGUAAAAAUAAGGAGGAUAUCUUGAGAAUAUCAAUAAACUCUUUCUUUUCUCUCUAUCUUCUGCUAUAUUCUUUCUCUCUCAAUCUCUAUCCUCUUCUUUUCCUCUCAAUUCUAUUUCUUCCUUCCUAAUUCUUUCUAUUCUAUCUCAGAUCUAUUGGCUUAAUUUCUCUAUGGCUCUUGGCCGGAGAAUCCUCACCAUGUAAGUUGUGGCUCUUAGCCAUAAUCUGCCAAAAUCAAUAACCAUUUUGUGGCCCUAUGCAGCCAAAGUUGGUAACUUCCUUAAGGAAGUUAUCUUCAAUGUGCAUGCAUGUGAAAUGGCCUUUGUGCACUUACUUCAGGUCAUGGCACAACUUCCACUUGGAAGUUGUGCCUCCACUUUCUGCAGUCGUGCACGUAUGGGGAGUUAUCUCCCCAUGUCCAAGCAGUCUCUCUUCUUCCUCUUCUUUUUCAAUUUUUUUUAUUUUAUUUUUAUCAUAAUAAAAUAAAGGCAUGGUCUGAGUUGACUCAUCACCUGUUUUCCUUCAAAAUACAAACAAAUAACUGAGUGCAUGUCAAGGAGACAGUAAAAUAUAUAUGGGAAAAUGGAUAAGCAUGCACUGAAAUUGAUACACCAGGUCAAACUAAAAAAAAAAAAAAACAGAGAAAUGAAGAAGAAAGAAGGGUGUGGGGGGGAGGCAGGGUGUUUAUCCAACAAAAGAAUUCCAAUAACACAGGACAGGCACUUCAACAUGUUAGCAUCAGUAAUGCCAAUGAUAUAAUUUUCAGUUUGUAAAGAGAUGAAAGAUAAGAUAGAGGCUUUAGGUGCCAUAAAGAAGUUACAAGUUAUUUUUCUUUUGCAGGCUUGUGCUUAUAAGUAUCAAUAUGGUAUCACUGCACUUGGCUGUAACUCAAGUUGUAAACUAGUUGUUGGAAUCCCUUGUUUUUGGGAAUACAAAUUAUUAGGCAUUAAUUGAAUUUUCCUAUUGUAAUUAGCUUCCUAUUUUUAGUUUCCUAUUUAGGUCUGAUUCUUUGUAUUAAAUAGGAGCCUUGUAUAUCAUUUUUUUAUCAUGAAGAAACACAGAAAAUUCCCUCAAAUAUCAGCGUCUUUUAUCCCUGGUUGUUAGAAGAUAGGAUAGAUAUCUUAGGUUAAAAUCCCCAUCACAACCCUCCUCUACCCCCAUCCAUGCUAGCCAAAGACCACAACAAAAAUGAGAAAAUGAAAAUAAUUUGGUAUUCGAAGCACCUGCACUGUCAUGUGACUAUCUUUCAUAACCUUUAACAAUAUCCUACUUCUAUCUCUACUAUGUACAAGAACCACAAUGCAAGAAAGGCUUCUUAACCAAAUGGAGAAUUUAAGCCAAAUGUUAAAGAAGAAGAGUAUCAAAAUGAAUUAUUCAGCAUUACAGUAUUUUGAGAGAAGAAAAUAAGCUCAAGACUUCAUUCUAAUCCUUGAUAAAAACAGUAAAAGCUCAUGAGACAGCAUUCAUAACUGAAGAACAGAAGAUUUACGUUUUUGGACAAUUAGUCAAAGGCCUAAAUGUCAAAAUGGCAAUGCAUUGACAGCAGAUACUGGACAGGAGAUGUGAUACUCUAUAUUACAGGGCACAAAAAGAGACAAGGGGUUUGUCUGCAUGGAAGACAACAAAAAGGGUAUUAUACUCCACAAAAGGUCACACAAACUAUGGUACAAAAAUCAAAUUCUUAAAUGAUGAAUAAUUUGAAUGCCAUAUCAAGAUUACUGGCCUCAGAAAACUAUAUCAAGAAAAGAGAGGGAGGACCAAUGAGCUUUAACUCAAUGGUAUUGGAGUUAUCUCCAGGGCUGUGAGGUCUCGGGUUCAAGUCCCAAUCGGAGCUAUCUGUAUCAAAAAGAAAGAGAGAGAGAGAGAGUCCAAGCAACAAACUAAGCAGAAAUGUCCACCACAUUUCAGAAAUGAC